AUUGAACGCUGGCGGAAUGCUUUACACAUGCAAGUCGAACGGCAGCACGGACUUCGGUCUGGUGGCGAGUGGCGAACGGGUGAGUAAUGUAUCGGAACGUGCCCAGUCGUGGGGGAUAACGUAGUGAAAAUUACGCUAAUACCGCAUACGAUCUAUGGAUGAAAGCGGGGGAUCUCAAGACCUCGCGCGAUUGGAGCAGCCGAUAUCAGAUUAGGUAGUUGGGGGGGUAAAGGCCCACCAAGCCAACGAUCUGUAGCUGGUCUGAGAGGACGCCCAGCCACACUGGAACUGAGACACGGUCCAGACUCCUACGGGAGGCAGCAGUGGGGAGUUUUGGACAAUGGGCGAAAGCCUGAUCCAGCCAUUCCGCGUGCAGGAUGAAGGCCCUCGGGUUGUAAACUGCUUUUGUACAGAACGAAAAGGUUUCUACUAAUACUAGGAGCUCAUGACGGUACUGUAAGAAUAAGCACCGGCUAACUACGUGCCAGCCGCCGCGGUAA
RNAcentral lists this ribosomal RNA (500 nucleotides) under uncultured bacterium. RNAcentral describes it as "partial 16S ribosomal RNA". It matches the Rfam family "Bacterial small subunit ribosomal RNA", at positions 30 to 523 of the family's 1533-position model. The record is from RNAcentral.